GACGAACGCUGGCGGCGUGCCUAAUACAUGCAAGUCGAACGAGAGCGCCCGGUGCUUGCACUGGUCAAUCUAGUGGCGAACGGGUGAGUAACACGUGGGUAACCUGCCCAUCAGAGGGGGAUAACAUCCGGAAACGGAUGCUAAAACCGCAUAGGUCUUCGAGCCGCAUGGCUUGAAGAGGAAAAGAGGCGCACGCUUCUGCUGAUGGAUGGACCCGCGGUGCAUUAGCUAGUUGGUGAGGUAACGGCUCACCAAGGCCGUGAUGCAUAGCCGACCUGAGAGGGUGAUCGGCCACAUUGGGACUGAGACACGGCCCAAACUCCUACGGGAGGCAGCAGUAGGGAAUCUUCCGCAAUGGACGCAAGUCUGACGGAGCAACGCCGCGUGAGUGAAGAAGGUGUUCGGAUCGUAAAACUCUGUUGUUAGAGAAGAACAAGUGCUAGAGUAACUGUUAGCGCCUUGACGGUAGCUAACCAGAAAGCCACGGCUAACUACGUG
Molecule: ribosomal RNA, 498 nt
Filed under: uncultured bacterium
Lineage: Bacteria
Description: partial 16S ribosomal RNA
Rfam family: Bacterial small subunit ribosomal RNA
Source: RNAcentral